This is a small nucleolar RNA of Dichanthelium oligosanthes, 101 nucleotides long. It matches the Rfam family "Small nucleolar RNA R11/Z151". Rfam says of the family: snoR11/Z151 is a member of the C/D class of snoRNA which contain the C (UGAUGA) and D (CUGA) box motifs. Most of the members of the box C/D family function in directing site-specific 2'-O-methylation of substrate RNAs. The record is from Rfam. Lineage: Eukaryota; Viridiplantae; Streptophyta; Magnoliopsida; Poales; Poaceae.
GGGCUCAUGAUGAUUUGGAUCCGAAAGGAUCUUAGCGGAUUUCGGUGAGGCGGAUUCAUCCGCCGUUGAUCGUUUUCAUGUUGUUACACACACUGAAGCCC